CAUUCCAUUUGGCUCCAAUCUGUCUACUUGGUUUCUUAUACUGCUAGCAUGAUAUCUAUCAUCUUAUUGCUAUAAGAUCAAAUUAUUCAUGUAAUUGUUUCCAUCUAUCUUGGAAUAAUUAUAACUGAAGAAAUGAGCUUAUUUAGCAUGAGCAUUCAGAACUUAUUGAAGAUUGUGUGCUUCCCCUUUUAUGAAUUAUGAUACAAGGUUCAUGGUAUUAAUUAUAACUGAAAAAAUGAGCUUAUAUUUUCUCGAAAAAAAAUGAGCUUAUUCAACGUGAACAUAAAUGGAUGGAGGGUGUUAGAACUGCAUAUAUAUGCUAUUCCUAUUUCCUCUGGUUCUUAUCAUGUAAAUAGAGCUUUACACAAGAAAAAACAAAUUUAGUCUUUGAAUAUUAAUUGACUGCAAACCUUUUGCUCUAGGCUUGCAGUGCAUAUGUAAUGUGCAGUUCUUAUGGUUACAACUACCUUUAUUCGCCAAAAAGUAUAGAAUUGUUGUUGCCUACUUCUGAUAAACCGUUCUUAUUUCGCUGGUUCUAGGUCAUACUACUUUGUUUGCUACAACCCGUUCCAUCUGUGGCCAGUUAGCUCUGGUUUGGUAGCAUAAUUUUCAUUCACUGCUUCAUGGUACAUGGGAAAUAUUGUUGCGGUAAUGGUUUGCUUUUUCUCUGUGCGCAGUCUGUAGCGGUACACUGCUUUAUGCUGCCUUUAAAUUUGUUACCAUCUUUAUUUAGGAGGAAGAAUUUGUUACCAUAACGGGGAAAUAUGUAUGGGCUUGAGAUAUGUAUUAUCAAAUGAGUGUCAAUUCCAGCAUCAUAGUUUCAUUGACCAGCCUUAAAACUAUUGCUUAGAGAAUGUGUUCCUAAUUGUCAAGUAGCAGGGUCUGUAUCUCGGUUUUUAUCUCCAGUAUGCAUUAAAGCAUGGUCCGGUACCUUUGUUUGUGAGCUUUUGUUUUGUAUCCAAGUGGUUUAUUUCGAAGUAUAUAUAUACUGUGCUUUGUAGUUUCCAUAUUACAAUCUGUUAAUUUAUGUGAAGAUUUUACGCUAACACUUACCAGUUUGUAGCAUUGUUCUUUGUGAUAUGUAGUGCCAUGGUCUCCGGUUCAGCUGAUAAGAGCAUGGAUUGAAUCACUGACAUCCUUCAUCAAUAUGUGCAGCAAGAUGGAAUUAAAAUGCUCAUUACAAAAAGGCUUUUUGAAUAAAAUGAGCAUUUUUUUUGUAAGAAGUUCCAACAGAUUUCGCCAGUUGCUUCCAGUAUAGUAAAAAAUGCAAAUUGUCCAGUCCAAGUAAAUUUUAAUGUUUAGUGUUCUCUUCUGUAUCUGCAUGCUAUGAUAGUGCUAACUAUAAGUUCCUUUUCACUUGGACAAACUAGGCAAGGAUCUAUGAGCAUUACCAUUUAUGAAUAUGCAAGGAACUUGGACUCAGCUUCUAACCAAAGAAAUGAUCUGACUGAGAUACACAUGGCUGAUAUUGUUUCGACAACUUAUGAUGUCCUCAAGGAAGAGCUGUCACGUGAUUCUGAUAGACAUGAUGGAGAUCGCCGUUUUUUGAGAUUUCAGAAGGGAAUUGAGGCUGGGAGUCCUGCCAUUGGAGAAGCUAUUGCAUUGGGAGCAGCAGUAGAUUAUCUGUCACAAUUCGGCAUGCUGAGGAUUCAUGAGUAUGAGAAAGAGUUUGGGAUGUAUCUUUACGAGAUAUAUCCAUGCGAGACUAGAUAUGAAUUCAACGAAGCUAAGUAGUUCCUUGGGUACUAUGUGUUAGAUGAAUAUGAAUUGAUCCGUUGAGACUGAGGUCUACGACAAUGACUCUGUCAGACUGCCUAUGAAUUAUCAAGAAAGUUUUCCUUCUAUGCUAGCUACUCCGUACUUCUGAUGUUUCGUUAUGCAUAGUGAUAUCUGUGAUAAUCAUGUCACUAAAGUUUGAUGUUUCGUCUUACACUAUAUAUAUGUAAAUAAUGGAGCAGCUAGCUCUGCUAUGAACUCACAUGGCACUACUCCUAUCUUAGAACCAUGUAUUUGUACCUAUAUGUAAUGUAUUUUUCCUUCUUU
Lolium perenne is the source of this 2043-nucleotide non-coding RNA. NCBI's taxonomy places the organism in Eukaryota, Viridiplantae, Streptophyta, Magnoliopsida, Poales, Poaceae. The record is from RefSeq and is a predicted model, not a curated record.